AGGAUGCCUUCUACACGCUAGUACGUGAGAUUCGGCAGCAUAAACUGCGGAAACUAAACCCCCCUGAUGAGAGUGGUCCUGGCUGCAUGAGCUGCAAGUGUGUGCUAUCCUGACACCAGGCUCAGGACGUGGAGGUGCCGGAUGCAGGGAGGAGGUGCUGACGGAAGGAAGGAAAGAGGAGGGAAGGAAGGAAACGAUGCUGGAGCCAGGCCAGGCCAGGGAUGGUGGACAGAUGUGACCAAGACCUUCGCAUGGACAAUUUGAACAGACUGUCAAGAACUGUCCCUGUUGUCACUGGCACCCAAGUCCUCCACCCCUCUCAGUUCCCUCCAGGCGCCUAUGAGGGCACAUGUUGAAUCACAGUAAAUUAUUUGAUGGUCUUGA
Molecule: long non-coding RNA, 384 nt
Organism: Grammomys surdaster
Lineage: Eukaryota; Metazoa; Chordata; Mammalia; Rodentia; Muridae
Exons: 2
Source: RefSeq, a predicted model, not a curated record